UACGGUGGGAGCAAGCGUUGUUCUGAUUUACUGGGCGUAAAGGGCGCGUAGGCGGUCAGCACAAGUCAGUUGUGAAAUCUCCGAGCUUAACUCGGAAAGGUCAACUGAUACUGUGCGACUAGAGUGCGGAAGGGGCAACUGGAAUUCUUGGUGUAGCGGUGAAAUGCGUAGAUAUCAAGAGGAACACCUGCGGCGAAGGCGGGUUGCUGGGCCGACACUGACGCUGAGGCGCGAAAGCUAGGGGAGCGAACAGG
Molecule: ribosomal RNA, 254 nt
Filed under: uncultured bacterium
Lineage: Bacteria
Description: partial 16S ribosomal RNA
Rfam family: Bacterial small subunit ribosomal RNA
Source: RNAcentral